This 273-nucleotide ribosomal RNA is filed under the name uncultured bacterium. Its description in RNAcentral is "partial 16S ribosomal RNA". It matches the Rfam family "Bacterial small subunit ribosomal RNA", at positions 524 to 796 of the family's 1533-position model. The record is from RNAcentral.
UACGGAGGGUGCAAGCGUUAUCCGGAUUUAUUGGGUUUAAAGGGUCCGUAGGCGGACCUGUAAGUCAGUGGUGAAAUCUCAUAGCUUAACUAUGAAACUGCCAUUGAUACUGCAGGUCUUGAGUAAAUUUGAAGUGGCUGGAAUAAGUAGUGUAGCGGUGAAAUGCAUAGAUAUUACUUAGAACACCAAUUGCGAAGGCAGGUCACUAAGAUUUAACUGACGCUGAGGGACGAAAGCGUGGGGAGCGAACAGGAUUAGAUACCCCCGUAGUCC